Molecule: unclassified non-coding RNA, 379 nt
Filed under: uncultured Oligoflexales bacterium
Lineage: Bacteria; Pseudomonadati; Bdellovibrionota; Oligoflexia; Oligoflexales
Description: contains 16S-23S intergenic spacer region
Source: RNAcentral
UCCGUGUUAACCACGGCAGUCUCCUUAGAGAGCCCAACUGAAUGCUGGCAACUAAGGACAAGGGUUGCGCUCGUUGCGGGACUUAACCCAACAUGUCACCACACGAGCUGACGACAGCCAUGCAGCACCUGUCUCUCGGUCGUAUUACUACGAAAACCACAUCUCUGUGGCGGUCUGAGGAUGUCAAACCCAGGUAAGGUUCUUCGCGUUGCUUCGAAUUAAACCACAUGAUCCACCGCUUGUGCGGGCCCCCGUCAAUUCCUUUGAGUUUUAGUCUUGCGACCGUACUUCCCAGGCGGGGUACUUAUUGCGUUAGCUCCGACUCGGCGGGGGUCAAGACCCACCAAGUCUAGUACCCAUCGUUUACAGCGUGGACUAC